AUUUACAUGUUGGAAUAAUUCAGUGUUGUAAUUUAACAAAGUACCAAUACUUUGUUACUGUACUUAAGUAGUAUUUUCACGUAUCUGUACUUGACUUGUAGUCGUUGUUAUUUCUGGAAACUUUCAAUUUGACUCCACUACAUUUCCUAAGUAAAAUGCAUACUUUUACUUCAUUA
Etheostoma cragini (Arkansas darter) is the source of this 176-nucleotide long non-coding RNA. RefSeq lists it as uncharacterized. The record is from RefSeq and is a predicted model, not a curated record. NCBI's taxonomy places the organism in Eukaryota, Metazoa, Chordata, Actinopteri, Perciformes, Percidae. The transcript has 3 exons.